This 303-nucleotide ribosomal RNA is filed under the name uncultured bacterium. RNAcentral describes it as "partial 16S ribosomal RNA". It matches the Rfam family "Bacterial small subunit ribosomal RNA", at positions 507 to 807 of the family's 1533-position model. The record is from RNAcentral.
AGCAGUAGCCGCGGUAAUACGUAGGUGGCAAGCGUUGUCCAGAAUUAUUGGGCGUAAAGGGCUCGCAGGCGGUUUCUUAAGUCUGAUGUGAAAGCCCCCGGCUCAACCGGGGAGGGUCAUUGGAAACUGGGAAACUUGAGUGCAGAAGAGGAGAGUGGAAUUCCACGUGUAGCGGUGAAAUGCGUAGAGAUGUGGAGGGACACCAGUGGCGAAGGCGACUCUCUGGUCUGUAACUGACGCUGAGGAGCGAAAGCGUGGGGAGCGAACAGGAUUAGAUACCCCUGUAGUCCCUGUCUCUUAUAC